This 75-nucleotide transfer RNA is filed under the name Bacillota bacterium. RNAcentral describes it as "tRNA-Cys". It matches the Rfam family "tRNA". Rfam says of the family: Transfer RNA (tRNA) molecules are approximately 80 nucleotides in length. The record is from RNAcentral. Lineage: Bacteria; Bacillati; Bacillota. RNAcentral also lists the same sequence under 2 other names.
GGCACCGUAGCCAAGCGGUAAGGCCAAGGUCUGCAAAACCUUUAUGCUCCAGUUCGAAUCUGGACGGUGCCUCCA